This 814-nucleotide small RNA is filed under the name Pan troglodytes (chimpanzee). RNAcentral's name for it is "processed transcript". Lineage: Eukaryota; Metazoa; Chordata; Mammalia; Primates; Hominidae. The record is from RNAcentral.
CUGGGAUUUGCAAGCCUCUUCACAGGGUAGCACAGCCUGGCGAGCACCUUGGGAGAGGCACGAGAACACACAUCUAUUCUGGGACCCUGAUGGAUUACAAGGAUGACGAAGGAACUUCUGAAGAGAAGAAGAUAAAAGUGAUCCUCAAAGUCUUAGACCCCAGCCACAGGGAUAUUUCCCUGGCCUUCUUCGAGGCAGCCAGCAUGAUGAGACAGGUCUCCCACAAACACAUCGUGUACCUCUAUGGCGUCUGUGUCCGCGACGUGGAGAAUAUCAUGGUGGAAGAGUUUGUGGAAGGGGGUCCUCUGGAUCUCUUCAUGCACCGGAAAAGCGAUGUCCUUACCACACCAUGGAAAUUCAAAGUUGCCAAACAGCUGGCCAGUGCCCUGAGCUACUUGGAGGAUAAAGACCUGGUCCAUGGAAAUGUGUGUACUAAAAACCUCCUCCUGGCCCGUGAGGGCAUCGACAGUGAGUGUGGCCCGUUCAUCAAGCUCAGUGACCCCGGCAUCCCCAUUACGGUGCUGUCUAGGCAAGAAUGCAUUGAACGAAUCCCAUGGAUUGCUCCCGAGUGUGUUGAGGACUCCAAGAACCUGAGUGUGGCUGCUGACAAGUGGAGCUUUGGAACCACGCUCUGGGAAAUCUGCUACAAUGGCGAGAUCCCCUUGAAAGACAAGACGCUGAUUGAGAAAGAGAGAUUCUAUGAAAGCCGGUGCAGGCCAGUGACACCAUCAUGUAAGGAGCUGGCUGACCUCAUGACCCGCUGCAUGAACUAUGACCCCAAUCAGAGGCCUUUCUUCCGAGCCAUCAUGAGAGA